UAGGGAAUCUUCCACAAUGGACGCAAGUCUGAUGGAGCAACGCCGCGUGAGUGAAGAAGGUUUUCGGACCGUAAAGCUCUGUUGUUGGUGAAGAAGGAUAGAGGUAGUAACUGGCCUUUAUUUGACGGUAAUCAACCAGAAAGCCACGGCUAACUACGUGCCAGCAGCCGCGGUAAUCGUAGGUGGCAAGCGUUGUCCGGAUUUAUUGGGCGUAAAGCGAGCGCAGGCGGAAGAAUAAGUCUGAUGUGAAAGCCCUCGGCUUAACCGAGGAAUUGCAUCGGAAACUGUUUUCUUGAGUGCAGAAGAGGAGAGUAGAACUCCAUGUGUAGCGGUGGAAUGCGUAGAUAUAUGGAAGAAUACCAGUGGCGAAGGCGGCUCUCUGGUCUGCAACUGACGCUGAGGCUCGAAAGCAUGGGUAGCGAACAGGAUUAGAUACCCUGGUAGUCCAUGCCGUAAACGAUGAGUGCUAAGUGUUGGGAGGCUUCCGCCUCUCAGUGCUGCAGCUAACGCAUUAAGCACUCCGCCUGGGGGAGUACGACCGCAAGGUUGAA
RNAcentral lists this ribosomal RNA (551 nucleotides) under uncultured bacterium. Its description in RNAcentral is "partial 16S ribosomal RNA". It matches the Rfam family "Bacterial small subunit ribosomal RNA", at positions 355 to 898 of the family's 1533-position model. The record is from RNAcentral.